Molecule: ribosomal RNA, 253 nt
Filed under: uncultured Actinomycetes bacterium
Lineage: Bacteria; Bacillati; Actinomycetota; Actinomycetes
Description: uncultured actinobacterium partial 16S ribosomal RNA
Rfam family: Bacterial small subunit ribosomal RNA
Source: RNAcentral
GACGAACGCUGGCGGCGCGCUUAACACAUGCAAGUCGAGCGAAAACCAGGGCUUCGGCUCUGGGGACAGCGGCGAACGGGUGAGUAACACGUGGAUAACCUGCCCUCGGCACCGGGAUAGCCCGGGGAAACUCGGAUUAAUACCGGAUAGCCCUUCCGACUCUCGAGUCGGUCCGAAAAGGUGCUUCGGCCUCUGGCCGAGGAUGGGUCCGCGGCGGAUUAGCUUGUUGGUGGGUAACGGCCUACCAAGGCUU